RNAcentral lists this ribosomal RNA (253 nucleotides) under uncultured bacterium. RNAcentral describes it as "partial 16S ribosomal RNA". It matches the Rfam family "Bacterial small subunit ribosomal RNA", at positions 524 to 776 of the family's 1533-position model. The record is from RNAcentral.
UACGGAGGGUGCAAGCGUUAUCCGGAUUCACUGGGCUUAAAGGGUGCGUAGGUGGGUUUGUAAGUCAGUGGUGAAAUCUCCGUGCUUAACACGGAAACUGCCAUUGAUACUAUGUUUCUUGAAUUUUCUGGAGGUUAGCGGAAUAUGUCAUGUAGCGGUGAAAUGCUUAGAUAUGACAUAGAACACCAAUUGCGAAGGCAGCUUACUACACAAUGAUUGACGCUGAGGCACGAAAGCGUGGGGAUCAAACAGG